Molecule: long non-coding RNA, 1563 nt
Filed under: Varroa destructor (honeybee mite)
Lineage: Eukaryota; Metazoa; Arthropoda; Arachnida; Mesostigmata; Varroidae
Description: uncharacterized LOC111248355
Source: RNAcentral
CUGCGCGCAAUGGCCCCGAGAAUGCGGAUCUGUUUAGUUGUUAAAGUCAGCGCAGCUCCGUAUAACUGCCGCUUUCUUUCGACGAGCAGCCAGAUACAACGCGACAGUUAAUCUAAGCCGCUGGCUGUGCUCGAACGCCCGACGGAAAAGGCUAAAUAACAGCUAUGGUAGUUGUUUCAGCAGCGAACGGCAGGCGAUAUGGCAACGAAAUAACAGCACGUAACGGCAACGGAACACUGAAAUCUUGACUGCUGCAAGUGCGAUCGAGCCGUUUGGUGUAUCGCAAGGAAAGUGAAAUUUUUAGGUGGCCUCUGGAAGUCAACGCGUACGUUUGCAUCAACCUCCAAGCAGAUUAUGCUACAUCGAAGGACACAUGUUUUUGAAAAAACACUACUGAUAUUUAUCUUCCCGCACGUACGUGGCGAUCGAAGGCCUUGCAUUUGUUCAGGCAACUGUUCCUGGCAUGAACGUGCGUCGUCAGCUGGUUCUCGAUCACUAUUUUAACGCUAGAGCUCAAUAGCAGCGAUGGGCGAACAGCCGAAAACACGCAGUACACUAAGCAAACAUGUCAGCUCCCUUCGGGAUAUUCUUGCCUCAACACUGAGAAGAGUCCCUUUAGCCCCCAAGCCGCCGCAGAAGCACCGUUCAUCUUUUGAGGUCGGAUAUGUUGUCCUGCCAACGAGCCUUUUCUAUCUCAAAGUUAAGGAAAAUGAGGAAUCGGACAAGGAGAGUUCUAUGGAAGGCCAACAGCGUCAAAUAACGGAGAAUGACUCUAUGUGAAGGUGUUUCUUUAAGGUUUACUUAGACGAUUUUAUAAGGCAGCAGUGGCAAUCGUUGCUAUGGAUCGACGCGAACAGAGAAUGAAACAAAGUAUUGUCGGACUCUAAGUACGCACUGCAUGGCACAUUGGUUUUUUUCCCCUUUACCCGUUGUGCAAAUGCUUUGUUUGUAGGGCGUCUCGAAAUUGUAUCGCUGACGUAUAGAACAUAAAAUGUUGUUACGUUAAGAAUUUUUGAGAGAGAUUAUAUUAUCCCUUGACUAUCCCAUUGGUAAGGGUAUAGGGAUAAUCAAGUUUUGUGACUAACGCUGGACUGUAUAUAUUUGUACGUAUGUUGUUCAAGUGUCAAUCUAAUUCACCCUGAAACUUACAGAUUUUUUUAGAAAACAACAUAUAACUGUACUCAGGUGCAUUUCCAGAUAGACAGUUGUGGACAAUGCCCGUGGAAGCAAAUGAGACCGCGAAUUCUAAUAUAUUCCAUUUCAUCAUUAACAGUAGUAGUUACCAUACCAAUCGAAAAGCACGAUUUUUACAAUUAAAUAAAUCUUUUCUAAUUAAAUUUUUAUUUAUUGCUAUAUAAAUGAAUUAAUUUAUUAGAUUAAGAAAAAAUUAUUACGUGGAACAAUUGAAUUAUUCAGUUUGUGUCGACAGCUUUGAAGACGGCUUCUAACUGCUAGUGCUAUGCACUUCCGUCUAUGACGUGUAGUCCUAAAGUUCUAAUAAAAAUGAAAGUCUCCGGGAAGAUUUGUGUAGUCGAAAAUGGGUGUUCUUUAAUAUUUAAUGCG